Molecule: ribosomal RNA, 497 nt
Filed under: uncultured bacterium
Lineage: Bacteria
Description: partial 16S ribosomal RNA
Rfam family: Bacterial small subunit ribosomal RNA
Source: RNAcentral
GAUGAACGCUGGCGGCGUGCCUAAUACAUGCAAGUCGAGCGAACGGACGAGAAGCUUGCUUCUCUGAUGUUAGCGGCGGACGGGUGAGUAACACGUGGAUAACCUACCUAUAAGACUGGGAUAACUUCGGGAAACCGUAGCUAAUACCGGAUAAUAUUUUGAACCGCAUGGUUCAAAAGUGAAAGACGGUCUUGCUGUCACUUAUAGAUGGAUCCGCGCUGCAUUAGCUAGUUGGUAAGGUAACGGCUUACCAAGGCAACGAUGCAUAGCCGACCUGAGGGGGUGAUCGGCCACACUGGAACUGAGACACGGUCCAGACUCCUACGGGAGGCAGCAGUAGGGAAUCUUCCGCAAUGGGCGAAAGCCUGACGGAGCAACGCAGCGUGAGUGAUGAAGGUCUUCGGAUCGUAAAACUCUGUUAUUAGGGAAGAACAUAUGUGUAAGUAACUGUGCACAUCUUGACGGUACCUAAUCAGAAAGCCACGGCUAACUACGUG